RNAcentral lists this long non-coding RNA (17490 nucleotides) under Solanum tuberosum (potato). RNAcentral's name for it is "long non-coding RNA (STUB_LNC003871)". The record is from RNAcentral. Lineage: Eukaryota; Viridiplantae; Streptophyta; Magnoliopsida; Solanales; Solanaceae.
CUCGAUCUAUGAAGACAUACCACUUAGUCUUGCAGAAUCUCAAUCCAAGCUUCAACUAGAGAGAAAGCAACUCACUUGCCGAAACCUACACUUGUAGUAAAACAUGAAGAAAAUAUGGAUUAGCACAAUUAAGUACUAAGUAUGAUAGCCAUGCAAAAGCAUGCUUAAAACGGACAAUUUAUUUGAAAGUCAUACUUUUAUGCCAUUUUGAUAAAACUCCAUGAACAUAAGUAUAAGAGGCAUAAUAUUCAAGCAUAACCAACAUACAAGUCAUUUCAUCACGAUAGAGACAUAAUCAACAUAUAAGCCAUUACCUUCACCUCAAGUAACCCUCAAGCAAUACCUUGUGCAAACUACAAUGUAUGGAUAACGUCUCAUACCACCAUCCACACUAAAGUACCACCUUAAGGUCACCAAAAUUGAACUUACCAUUCAACCUUUCCAUCUUUAAACAAUACUCAUACAUAAGAUACAUAAGCAUUUCAUAAGUCAUAUCAUCACAUAAGGACCAUCAUCUAGGGCAAAUCUAAGUCAUAUUUGUGCAAUGUACAAGUAGCAUCUCAUACUACUACUCACACUAAGUACUCAUUAGAAGCCACCACUACUCACACUACGUAUUCAUUUGAAGCCACCAUAGAUAAGGCACAUUCAUACUCAAUAGUCAUGACAAGGAAGUAACUCAUAAUACAAUCCAAGUAUAGCAUACAUUAUCUCAUUUAAGCAUAUAAGAGUCAACAUUCUUCAUUAGCUUCAUUUAGGACACAUUCAUACAUGUAACGACCAUUUUGGUCCUUUUGAGUACUAGAGAUUUUUAUUUCAUAAAAUACUUUCCGAUAGAUUCUAAAUGAGUAUUUUGGACUAUUCGUAACUACAUUUAUGAAUUUAGUGGGGUAGUUUUAGUAAUUAAUUUAGUUGGUGGUUAAGGAAAAUAACAUUAGAAUUAAUAGUGGACCACUUUUACCACUCCCAUAAUUAGGCUUAAUAAUAAUUGGGGAUUUCCAUCGUGAGUUAGAAACUCAAUAGAACUUCAAAUACAGCGAUACAAUUUGCAGAGAGGCCGACGAGUACUUCAGGUAAAUCCAAUAUCCAAUAUGUAUUUGGUGUAUCAGAAUUGAUGCAUUAACACUGUUCGAGUUUGAAACAAUGGAAGCCUUGACUACAAUCAGUAAAGAAGCAGAGUAGAAAAGAUAACUUGUAACUUGUAGAAUGCAAAGCUUGAAUGAUUCUAUUUCAUCAGUGAAGUAUAUAUACACAUCAGCUGGAAGCUUCUAGACUAUUACACUUUGAGCUAACUAACUAUACACAUUGAAUACAUGAGCUAACUAACUCUCUAACCAAUUCUAUAACUAACUAUGUGAGCUGUACAAUGCAAUACGUGAGCUGUGCAAUAUAAUACUUAAUACCCCCCCUCAAGUUGGAGGUGAAGAUAACACUGCCAACUUGUCAAGGAUAGAAGAGUGCUUGAUUCCUGUUAAGGCUUUGGUCAAUAUGUCAGCCAACUGGUCUUGUGUAGCAAUAUGAUGCAAUGAGAUAAGUCCUUGUUGUAAGACAUGUCUCACAAAGUGACAGUCUACCUCGAUGUGUUUGGUCCUUUCGUGAAAAACAGGAUUCUUGGCAAUGUGUAGUGCAGACUGACUAUCACAAAAAACCGAAAUAGGCUUUGGAUAGGGAACACCCAACUCAGUAAGCAGUCGACUUAGCCAAACCAAUUCACCUACUACUUUCCUGAGUGAUCUGUAUUCAGCCUCUGCUGAUGAUAGAGAGAUGGUUUCUUGCUUCUUUGACUUCCAGCUUAUUGGACUGCCCCCAAGCAAUACUAUAAAUCCACUCACAGACUUCCUGGAAUCUGGACAUGAGGCCCAAUCUGAAUCACAAUAGCCUUUCAUAGAAAAAUCUGCAUCUUUGGACAAAAACAAACCCAAUGUAGGAUCAGACUUCAAGUAUCUUAAGAGGCGAAAAACAGCCUGCAAGUGUGGCUCUCUAGGGUCCUGCAUAAACUGGCUUAAGUGUUGAACACUAAAAGCAAUAUCCAACUUUGUGUUUGUAAGGAAGUUAAGUUUUCCAACUAACUUUCUGUAGAAAGUACUAUCACUUAAAACUGGACCUUCCUUAGCUCUCAGCUUGGUAUUGGGAUCAAGAGGGGAAGAUAAGGAGCUCAGAUGCAAACAAUCAUACUCCUUUAGUAAGUCAAGCACAAAUUUUCUUUGUGAGACAAUAAUUCCCUGAUCUGUGUGAAGUACCUCCAUUCCCAAAAAUAGUGAAGUAAUCCCAAAUCCUUAAUUUUGAAUUUGUUGUUUAGAUAAACUUUCAGGUCUGCUAUCUCAUCAGCAUCAGUACCUGUAAGAACUAUAUCAUCAACAUACACAGCUACAUAAACUGCUGAAUUUGCUUUCUUCUUAUAGAAGAGAGAAUAGUCAUACAUAGAGUGAGCAUAUCCCCUAGAACAUAAAGCUUCAGUGAGCUUAGCAUACCAUUGCCUACUAGCCUUCUUGAGUCCAUAAAGGGACUUGUUCAACUUGCAUACCAAAUUAGGAGACUGGACAGCAAGUCCAGGUGGUACGUCCAUGUACACUUCCUCAUGUAGAUCACCAUGAAGGAAGGCAUUAUUUAUGUCCAGUUGAUACAUAGUCCACCCUUGUUUAACUGCUGUGAUUAAUAAGGCCCUGACUGUGGUCAUUUUCACUACAGGGGAAAAAGUUUCAGUAUAAUCAAUGCAUGCUUGCUGUGUAUAACCCUUGACAACAAGUCUGGCCUUGAGCCUUUCUAUGCUCCCAUCUGCCUUGUGCUUCACCUUGUAGACCCACCGGCAGCCUAUAGCUUUCUUUCCAGGGGGAAGGGGAACUAAAUCCCAAGUGCAAUUUGAGUGCAAGGCAUCAAACUCCUGUGUCAUGGCGAGCUGCCAUGCAGGAUCGAUGACAGCUUCCUCAUAUGAAGUCGGUUCCCUGUCAAUGCAAACAUUUCUAACAAUAUCUUGACUAGCAGGAAUUAGAGCACUAUGAGCCAAGUGGUGGUGAUUAGAGAAAAGGGCUUGGAGGGAAGGGUUGGUGUUUGAGUUUUGAGGAACAGAUGGUUUAAGUUGAGGUAUAGAGUGAACAUAAUCAUUCAAAUGUUUUGGAGGUUUGUGACAUCUAGUGGAUUUCCUAGGUUCAGUUUGUGGAAGAGCAUGAGGUUGGUUAACAGAUAGGGGUGCAGGAGGUAGAGAAGGAGAAGGCAUGGAUGCAGAGGGAUUAGGUGACAAGUCACAUGUAGCAGUAGAACCAUUUGAACUAUUUAGAGUAUCCUGUGUGCCAUUUUUAACAAAAACAUCCAAAAUAUCAAUGAAAUAAGGUGACUGCAACAAUGAAAUAGGGGAAACAGUUGUAGUUGCAGGGGCAUUAUUAAAAGGAAAAAUAUUUUCAUGAAAAACAACAUCUCUGGAAAUAUGUAUUUUACCGGUAGACAUAUUUAGGACUUUGUACCCUUUUGUCUCAUGAGGAUAUCCAAUGAAAAAUAUGAGGAGUAGUUCUUGGUUCAAACUUAGCUCUAUGAGGUAUGGGUACAGUAGGAUAACAAAGACAUCCAAAACUUCUCAUGUGUGAAUAGAGGGGUUUUCUGUGGUAUAAAAUUUCAUAGGGACAUUUUUUGUUCAACACAGUGGAUGGGAGCCUAUUUAUUAUGUAUGUUGCACAGAGAAUGCACUCUCCCCAAUACUUAACAGGAAGUUUAGACUGAAACAACAGUGCUCUAGCAGUCUCAAGAAGGUGUUUAUGUUUUCUCUCCACCACACCAUUUUGUUGUGGUGUAUAGGGACAAGUUUUCUGGUGAAGUAUACCUUUGGUUUGAAAAUAAAAGGUUGCCUCUGUAUUGAUAAAUUCCAGACCAUUGUCUGUUCUGAUUGUUUUGACAGUGGUUUCAAAUUGGUUUUCUACCAUAGCAAUGAAGGCUUUGAGAGUUUGUAAAGCAUUGCUCUUAGUACUUAACAACUGAGUCCAAGUGGACCUACUAAAGUCAUCCACAAUAGUGAUGAAAUAUUUAAAGUGGUUAUGUGUUGGUGUAUGAUAAGGCCCCCACAAGUCAACAUGAAGUAAUUCAAAAGUGUGUGAGGUUAGUGUGGUUCGUGGUUUAAAAGGUAGUCUUUCUUGUCUUGCCAUAGGGCAAAUGGAACACAUAAAAGGUUGCUUGGCUGAGAACUUCACAGGGAUGGUGGAAAUAUCUCUCAUUUUGACAAAAGGGACAUGUCCCAAUCUAUUAUGCCACACAAUGUCUACAUGAUUUCCAGCACAUGUUUGAGAACUAGAAGUACAAGAAACUGGACAUGGAAUAGAACAUGACAUUUCUUUAUUGAGAAUAGGAGUACAUUGCUUGUUAUCUAAAGUCUGAAUAGACUGUCUGUUACUACAGUUAUUGCAAGAAUUAUUUGGAAUGACACUACUACAUUUUGAAACGUUGAAAGAGUUCUUCAAACAACUUGGACACAGGAAGUAUAGACCCUCUUCUGCACUACCAAUCACCAGAGGCCUCUUCAUUGAAGGGGCCUGCAUGAAACAAGAAGUUUUGGUGAAGCUAACAGUGUAUUUUGAGUGAACAGUCAGAGUAUGAAUAGAAAUCAAGUUAUAUUUAAAAGAUGGCACAUACAGAACUUUAUCUAAAUUGAUCAUGGGCCCUAAUGUCACACUACCAACUUGAGUCACCUUAACUUUGUAUCCAUUAGGCAAGGCAACUAACAAAGGAUAUGGUAAAAGUGUGAUGUUGUGUAGUAGAGAUAUAUUAAAAGUCAUGUGGUUUGAGGCUCCCGAGUCCAAUAUCCAUGAGUCAGAUUUGUUUUUGAAACAAUUACAUGACAGUUUUCCAAAAUCAAUAGAGGAAGUGCAGACUAUGAUACCUGCAAAAUCAGUUGCUGGUCCAUUAGCAAGGUUUGGAUUGUUGUUGGAUCCCUCAUUCUCAUGUUCCCUGUGGAAUUGCUGAAGCAUGCCUUGAACAUGACCAUAUUGGUCUUUGGUAAGGCUCACAUUGUACAUCUCCUCAUCUAAUCUUUUGCCAGGGGUAAAGUCUGGUGUGCAAUUAGCAUUUGCUACAACAUUAUUGCCAGAUCCUUUGUUGGUCCUCUGAUUUCCCUUGCGAAAAGUAUUAGGCCUCGGAGUUGGAUUGUUUCUUUGAUUUGGGCUUGGGUUGUUUGAACUAGUUGGAUAUCCAUAAAGUUGAUAACACUUCUCAAUAAGAUGACCAGUCCUGUUGCAGUAAGUGCAGAAUUUGUCCUUGUAUUGAAGCUGAGAGUGACCACCAGUAGGAGCAUAGUUUGUCUUGUAGGAUAAAGAAGGCCUGACAUUUGAUAAAGAAGGCCUGACGUUUCCAGCAUGUAAAGCAGUAGCUUCUACAUUAAAAUGGUUAGAAGGCUUAAUUUCCCUCUGGUGUUCAUCCUGGACUAACAGAGAAAAGGCCUGAGCCAUAGUAGGCAGCGGAUUCAUCAUAAGUAUGCUCCCACGAAUAACUGUGUAAAUCUCGUUCAACCCCAUGAGAAAUUGGAUUAACCUUCUAUCUUGUUCUGCUUUGUGAACAAGUGUCUUUGCUCCGCAAGUGCAGUUGCAAGUGCAUUGAGCUUUGGCAUUCAAAGUACUAAGCUCUUCUCAGAGCUUCUUCAAUUUGGUGUAGUAACAUGUGAUAUCAAGAGAGCCUUGUGACAAGUCGUUAAUUUCUCUUUGGAUCUGAUACAACUUCGCACCAUUUGUUUGUUCAUAUCGAUCUUCAAGUUCUUUCCAUAAUUCUGCAGAAUCCUGGACAUACUCAACACUAUCAGCAAUUUCCUUAGAUAGAGAAUUCAGGAUCCAAGAGGUAACGAUAUCAUCACAUCUUUCCCAUUGUCUGUACGAUGAGUCAUUGGAUUGAGGGCGUGGGCAAUCCCCAUUAAUGAAGCCCAACUUGUUCUUCACUGAAAGUGAUCUCAGAACACUACGCCUCCAGGAACGAAAACCAAUUUCAGCAAAUUGAACUGGUACAAGCAUUGCUCCGGGGUUAUCAGAAGGAUGCAUGUAAAAAGGGUGAUUGGAAUCAAUUGUGUUGUUGGUGGAACCACCAGAUUGAUCAGAAUUCGCCAUAGAUGAGCAGAGAAGGAGAAAACGAACAACAAAAGAGAUCUACGCAAUUGCAGAUCAGAUCGUAAAAGGAUGAGUACCUCAGAAUCGAGAUUGCUCUGAUACCAUAUCAGAAUUGAUGCAUUAACACUGUUCGAGUUUGAAACAAUGGAAGCCUUGACUACAAUCAGUAAAGAAGAAGAGUAGAAAAGAUAACUUGUAACUUGUAGAAUGCAAAGCUUGAAUGAUUCUAUUUCAUCAGUGAAGUAUAUAUACACAUCAGCUGGAAGCUUCUAGACUAUUACACUUUGAGCUAACUAACUAUACACAUUGAAUACAUGAGCUAACUAACUCUCUAACCAAUUCUAUAACUAACUAUGUGAGCUGUACAAUGCAAUACGUGAGCUGUGCAAUAUAAUACUUAAUAUGGUGAAUAUGAACAAAGGUUUUAUGAUUAUUAUUAGAUUAUCGUUAUUAGACGAGAAUUUGAAGAGAACGAGUUUUCACUGGUAGUGUUAGGUUGACAUCUGGUGAUUAAUGGCGAUAGGUGGUUGAAUUGUGAUUAAUUUCUGAGUGGUGAUGUAAGGAAAUUAUGUAGUGCAAGGGUAGUAAUAUGGAUUGUCGUUAAACUGUAAGGGAAAUUGUGGGUAGUGAUUAUUGUUGCCUUGGGUUGAAUAAUUGGGUGAAAACUUUGGUGGAGACAAACUUGUCUCCAUGUUCAUUAUUUGAUUAAAUUAUUGUUAAGUACUAAAACAAUAGGUGGCAAAUUAUUGUCUAUUGAGUUUAGUGAGUGGAUUGCAGGCGAAAACUUUAUAAACUUGAAUGGUCACUGUCAUGUUCUGAUAAUUUUGAAAUGGCUUUCGUGUGUUUGCUGCCACUGGUAUCGUGACCAGUGGCUUCAGUUUUACCAUAUUAUAAACUAAAAUUUGAUAUAUUGAGAUAGAGGUAAUUAAAUAUAAGGUGUAGUAUAUUAUAUGAAUUACAUUAAAGUUAUGCUAAUUGGAGGAAUUAAGACUUACCCUUAGGUUUGAACUUUAGGAAGUUGAUUAUAGAAUUAGGUGAGUUUUUGGGUAUAGGCUGGACAUAGAAUAAUAUGAGUGUUUAUAGGCUUGUUAACUUACAAAGUAUGCAUAUAUACUUGAUAGAUUGAAAAGGUUCGGAGGCAUUGAGGAAAGGAAAGGCAUUGAAGAAGUAGCUUGCCUGACGUUAGUUCUUCGGUGGAGGUAGGUUAUGGUUUAUUCUAUUUCGAUAGUUAGACUCUUAAUAGUGACUAAUAUGUAUUGAGUGAUAUUGUGAAGUUCUCUAUGUAUUUGAUUGUGUGGUUUUGUGUGCUUGUGUGGUUUGGUUGUAUGGUUUGUGAUUGGUCUAAAAUCCUGAAAUCGUAAAAUUUAUAAUCUGAAAUCCUCUCUAUCGAAGUGAUGCCUUGAAUAAAGAAGGCUUGAUGAAAUAAAUUAACGGUAUAAUUGGAUCGGAGUGUCACGUUCCGACACGGUAUUUUUGGAUCGGAGUGUCACGUUCCGACACGGUAUUUUUGAGAGUGUCACGUUCUGAUACGGUAUAAUUGGAUCGGAGUGUCACGUUCCGACAUGGUAUAAUUGGAUCGGAGUGUCACAUUCCGACACAGUAACAUUAAAGGAAAAAGAUAUUGAAUUAACUUAAUGUACUCAAUCUCAAAGAACCCAUUUCUCAAAUGAGCGUGGUGUGGAGGCAUGAGUCCCCAUAUGUGUGCUUGAUAUUGUGAUUGAUUGCGUACUUACUUUAGUAUUGUUGUCACUGGUUCAUGUUGUUCGUUGCUUGCCACCUGCUAAGUGUCAUAGUUGAUUUUAUCCUAUUAUUCACUAUAUAUUAGUUUCUAUUUUGGGUUGUCCGAUGAUUCCUACUCAGUACGUGUUCCUUGUACUGACCCCUACUUGUGUUUUCUUCGUUUUUCUUUUGUGGAGUGCAACAAGUGUACCAUCGACUUUGACUCGCCCUCAGCCCUAGCCAGUCUCCAGCACAUCAGAUUUCAGGGUGAGCUAUUCCUUCUAGCUCGUGCUGGAUUCUCUCAGUCAUGGCAUGAUGUCCUUAAAUUUCGGACAUGGACCAUCAUAUUUACUUUUUGGGGUCUCUAAUACUUUUAGACUUGGUAUUUUAAAAACAGAUGUCCUUGAUGUGAUGACUUUCAGGUUUUGAGGAUAAUGUAUAAUAGACUUUAGAGGUUGAUUUGAUUGGUUACUUUAACAAGUUUUGAGCUCCGCAUUUUACUAUUAUUCGUAGUUGAAUUAUUGAUUUAUGUUGGGGUUUAGAUUCCUUGGUUCGCCCACUUAGGAAGUUAAGUGUGGGUGCCACUCACGACUCGUUUUGGGUUGUGACAAUACAUUAGCCAUUAAAACUUAGAGAACUCACUAUGACCCCCUCAAAGCCUACUCGUGCAAUGCAUGGAUGACAUCCCAUACUACCACCCACACUUCAUAGAACUCAUCAAGAAACCAUAAUGCACAUCUCACAUGAUGAGAAUAUGCAUUAACCAACAUAGACCAUGAGAGCUAACCAUGGAAUCCGGUGUCAUAUGGCCCCACACCGUAAAAAUGUGGUCUACUUACCUAAGGUAGGGCAUGUAACAUUUUAGCUUGGAUGGAAAUCCACUAGCUAAUAUCCUAUGUGGGCACAUAGUUAUGGGAUAAAAAGAUGUUCAUUGGAACCCUAGCCUAACAUUGGGAGAGUUUUCAUCUUACCAUAUCCACUCGGUGCUUAGCCUCCAUUCCCAUAGAGUAUUCAUUUUCAUUACAUUAUUGUGCUUGAGAGGAAUGCCAUUGGCCUAUCGACCCAAGACACCUCAUUACACAUGAAAGGAAUGCCAUAAGCCUAUAGAUUCAUGGUACAUUACAUGGAUAGCUCAUUGAAUCCUCAAGAAGGGCCACCAACAUUAGGUCUAUCAAUACAAGGUUCAUCAUUUCACACAUGAAAGGGCUACCAACACUAGGACUACCGAUUCAAGGUUUAUCAUCACAUUAGUUUCUAGACCCAUCAUGAAGGGCCACCAACACUAGGUCUACCGGUUCAAGACAUAGUCUAGAAUACUUCAUCAUUUAUUUAUGAAAGGAAUACCAUAAGCAUAUCGAUUCAUAUCCAUCAAGUCAAUACACAUUCAUUACACAAGAGAUGAUGCCUAAUUCUACCAACUCAAGGUUCAACAAUCAACUAUACUUACAUUCAUUUAAGAAGAGGAUGCAUAAGCCUACCAAUUCAAGAUACAUCAUCACAUUACUUUCAUCUAUACAAGAAAAGGAUACAUAAGCUUACCAAUUCAAGAUAUACAAUACAUAGAAGGAAAUCCUUCACAUUCCAUCAUCCAUCAUUCAUGAGUGUUAAUUGAGAAUAUGCUUUCAACAAUAACACAAUUACAUUCUAAACAUGAUUAUCAUACUAUCAUUGAAUUCACACCUACAUACUUCACAUCAUAGUCAUACAUAGAUCCUUCAUGAACUUGCCUUUCAAGCCUAUGAACCAACAUCAGUCCAUAAAUCUAAGAUACUACAAUAGAUAAUUAAAUUGACAUGAUUCAAUCAUUACUUCAAUAUAAACAUAAACAAUUCAACAUACUUCAACAAUCAAUCAAUACCAAUCUCAAAUCACAACUUAGAAUUUUGGGGGAAAACAUGGGUUCUAGGAAGAAAUCAUCUUAAUUUAUCUUUAAAUCCACAAUUCAUUCAUAAUUCAAUGCAAUAAAGCCUUUGAAAAUCGUUUGGAAUCGAACCCAUGCCAAGAUUGAAAACUAGGAUUUUGGGGAAAAUAUGGGAGACUCAAUCACUUUUGAAAUUGGCUCCUUGAAAGAAACUAAGUCAAGGAUGAAGAUCACCAUACCUUUUAUGGAAGGAAUCCACGAAAAUCCCUUGAAAAACUUGAAUUCUUGACCUUGGAAGCUUGAAUCCUUCACCUCCAUGGAGGUUUCUAGAGAGAGAACUUUUGAGAAGAGAGGUGAGUUCUAUUUGGAUUUUGAAAUAAUGAAUUGGAAAAUAGAGUUUAAUACUUUUAAUACUCUUAAAAUACCAUAAUUAACCCAAAAUAACCGUCCCCUCACUUAACUAAAUUAAUUAGCAAUUUACCAAACCACCAACCCACGAAUCGUGGAUUGGGUCACGCCCCGUCUUGGUCAACCGUGGUUCAUGGUUGUGGCUUGGUUUUGGGGGCCUUGACCUUCGGAGGCAAUCCAUGGGGCGUGGAUGGACCUACGGGGCGUGGUCCUCUUCCGUAGGUCACCAUAUUUUUAGGCAGUUUUGGUUUUCUUUGGGGUCUUGAGGUUAGGCUCUAGGGUCCUCCUCAAGGACCCCUAGGGUGGUCCUUGGGGAGUCGUACCUUGACACUUAAUCCCUAAACCCCUCAACCAUAGCUCGGGACAACAUUUUGCAACAAGAAACCUUACAACAACUCAAACACACACUAGUUAGGCUCUAGCUUCACCUAUUCGUUUUACGGGUCGUUACAAAUCUCUUAUUCCCAUAAUAAUGAAAUAAAUUAAUGAAUGUCAAGUACUCUGUGGGGAAUAAUGCUAAGCACUGAGUGGAUAUGGCUUGAGAUGAGUUCUUAUCUGUGAGUUGAUGCGGGGUAUCUAGUAGCAAUCUCUUGAGAUGGAUGCUCAUCCGUGAGUUGAGGCGGGGUGUCUAGUAGCAAUCUCCCUAUCCCAUAACUAUGUGCCCACAUAGGUUAUUAGCUUGUGGAUCCACCUAAGCUAAAAGUAAUGUUCCUACCUUAGGCAAGUAGGAAUCCCUUAUCGGGUGUGGGUAACACCGAGAUUUGAUGAAUUUGCUCACAUGGUCUAUGUCGGUUAAGGCUUACCUCUAUAAAGAAUGAUAAUGAACUAUGGCUUCUCAAGAAUGCACUACUUAGUGUGGGUGGGGUUAUGGGACUUCAUCCAUACAUUGCACAAGUAGGCUUUGAGAGGGGCUAUGAUGUGUUCCUCUAAUGUCUUAAUGUCUAAUGAAUAAAUGUGCUCUUAAUGAAGCUAAUGAGAAUGUUGACUUAAAGUCUUAUUGUAAAGAUGCAUGCUUUACUUGAAUUGUAUUAUGAGUUACUUUCCUUGUCAUGACUUAUGAAAUGUGAAGGUUCCUUAUGCAUGAGUAUUCUCUAAAAAAUGAGUUUGAGUAAGUUCAUCUAUGGUGGCCUCAAGGUGGUACUUAGUAGGGAUAGUAGUAUGGGAUACUAUUCUUACAUUGCACAAGUAUAGCCUAAGGUUACCUAAGGUGACGGCUCUAAUAUGUUAAAAUGACUUAUAUGUUGAAUGUGAUUGUAUCUUAUGCCUCUUAUGCUUAAGUUCAUGAAGUUUUCUCAAAUUGGCAUAUGACAUGAUUUUCAAAUAAAAUGUCCUUUUUAAGCAUGGUUUUUGCAUGGCUAUCAUACUUAGUACAUUAAAUGUGUUAACCAUAUUUCAUCUAUUUUUCUACAAAGUGUAGGUUCCGACAUUUGAGUUGCUUCCUUCUAGUCAAAGGGCUUGGAUUGAUUUCCCUCCAUAGCUUGUGGUAUGUCCUCAUGGAUCCGAGGACAAGUGCUUUAUUGAUGUUUCAUGUCUUUCAUUGUACUAGAUACUUCUUAGACUUUCUAUUGUAAAGAGUCGUGACCCUACUUUUGAUUCAAAGAUGUUUUUAUAUGGCCAUGUCAGACAUGCUAUGAGGCAAGUAUAAGGCUUCGGAGUCUUGUACACUGUGUUACGUCCGGGGUAUAUUGUCUCAGGUCGUAACAGUUUGGAUUAAAAUUACAAAUUUGGAGCUUCGAAGAACCCAAAUUAAAAUUUGCCAACCGAAUUAACCUUGUGGAUUGACCAUGUACAAGAUGAUUAACAACUCCAAUAAUAUUGAUAAAGAAAAGAAUAAGGAAAAUAAAAAAUAAUUAAAAAUAAAUAAAUAUAUAUAUAUAUAUAUAUCUUUUUGGUGCUCACUCUCUCAGGGAGAGUGAAAUACACUCACUUCGCCACAUAAGCAUUUAGGGAGAUGAUAAUUUCAAUUUUAAACAGUUCAGGAGGGUGAUAGGACCCCCGUGAAGUUUGAGUGUGUAGUUGAGAAUUCGGUAAUAGAUUGUGAGGCAUUUGUUCGUUUUCUCAUUAUUAAUUCAUAUAUGAAUAAUCAUAACGUAUCAUGACCCCUUAUUUUUUAGAGCAACUUUCACAUUUUCCUAUUUUUUAUUAUAGCAUAGUAACUAAAUAUUACUUCUUUGUAUCAUAUUAGUUGUAAGGUUAUUAAAUGAUAUAUAUACUUGUCUCAAUUUACUCUCUCUGUCUUACAAUUGGUGUUUAAUUUUUUUUACUUGUUCAUUCAAACAAAACAAUCCGCUUUGCAAAAAUAGUUUAUAAAGUUUGGCUUGAGACAAAUGUCAUGUAUUCUAACGUAAAAUCCAGUUAAAAGAGGCCUUAUUUCAUACUCUACCGAUAAGUAAGGGGCAAUAGGAAACUAUUUGUUCUUCGUAGGAAUUAUAUUUUUUAAGAUGACUUAGGAUACUUUAAGGAAAAUGCGAGGAGCAAGAUGUUAGUUAUCCUGGUUUUAAUUAUUUCAUGAUAAAUUAUUCUGGAAUAAGUUAUUCCAUCGUUUAUAUGAAAUAAUUUAUUACAAUACUAAGGUAUAAAUAAUUCAAGAAUUAUCUAAAACUUCCAAUCAAAUACAAGAUAAAAUAAUCAUACAUUUUUUUAUGAGAUUAUUAUACCUACACCUCACAUCAAACAAAUCCAUAUUAAUAAAAAUGGUAAGUAAAUUACCAAAAAGAUAAUAUAUUCAAAAAAUAUGAUUAAUCAGGUUAAUUUAAUAAAAUAAAAUAUAGUAAUUUUUUUUCUUAAAUGAUAUGCCAAGUUAAUAUUAUUGACACUCCAUGUUGACCUGAUACUUUUUCAAAAUUGGCACUUUAAAGUUUUUAUUUAAAUACUUUAAAAUGCAUUUUUGCAAUUUUAAUUUGUUUUAUUGAUAAUAAUUCUUAUUUAUAAACAUUAACAUUUUUAUAACUCUAACAAUGAUUUUCUCAAUUGAGCAAAUACGUCCAUAGUGACUAUCAAUUUAUUUUAAAUUUCAUUUAAUUUUAAUCAUUAUUAUUUUUGUCACAAUCCAUUGAAUAUAAAUAAAACAUUAUUUCAAUUUCACUAAAUCAUCAUUUUCUUUCAAUUGUUAUAAUUAUUUAUUAAUAAUUUUUUUAUUAGCAAAGUUUAUAUAGCCCAUGAUUUUGUAAAAAUAUAAUUUUAAACUAGUAAACUUAGCCGCGCUAUGUGCGGUGUGAAAAAGUUUUAAAGAUAUUUUUAAAAUUUUUAAAUCCAAAUAAAUUAGAUAACAAAUUUUAACACAUAAAUUUGUAAUUUUAACUUGAUAUAUGAGAUAUUGAUUUCAUAAAAAAAAAAUCCUUAAAUAAGCACCGUCUAAUAGCUAUUAUUUUGUGUUAGUUAUAAUAAUUGAAAAUUUAUGACUUUAUUAUCCAUUCGAAUGAGUUCUUUUAUAGAGUUAUGACAUAGUAAUAAGAAUAAAAAUAAUAAAUUUAUGAGAAAAAGGAAGGAAGAUAUACAUUUGAUAGUAGAUUAACAAAAUAAGGAUUUAGACAUUACCGUAAGGAUUAACUUAAAUUUUGCUUCCAUUAAAAUCAUGUAAUUUUCUUAAGAAUUGACAUUCAAAUUAGCAUAAAAAUAGUAAAUUUAUGGAGAAAAAAAGAGAUAAUUUCAUAGUCUUCUCUUCAAAUUUGGCUUUAUAACACUCACCUCUUAAUAUUAUUCUAUUACAUUUACCUACCUUAUUUCAAUUUUUCUUGUAAUCCUUCAAAUUUGGCUUUAUAAUACUCACCUCUUAAUAUUAUUAUAUUACAUUUACCUACCUUAUUUCAAUUUUCUUGUAAUACUUCUAAGUAAAUACAAAUAUAGAUUAUUGUUCAAAAUUAUAUAUUUGGACUAAUAUGUUGCUCAAAAGCAACUUAAGAAUCUCAAACAAAGAAUUUUCUAAGCAGCAUCAUACAUAUUGAUAGAAUUUUCAUCUAGAUUCCUAGAUAUUUAAAUAAAAUAUUUGAUAAAGUAAAUAAAUGAUCAAUCUUACAUCUCUAUAAGAAGAGUACUAUUAAAACCCCCUUUUUUUUUAUUUUAUGAAAUUGCCCUUAUUUCAACCUAUUUCAGUAGUUGCCUUUAUUGUGGAUAUAAAACAUAGGUUUUAGUUGUUCAUCAGUGAUGAAUCAUCAAUUUUUUCCCCUUUUUAAAAAAAAUCAAAUUGGUGGAAGAAACUAUUAGGCCUCUUCAAUAAAUGGAAAGGUGUAAAUUUGAAGAGAGAAAUUAUUGGAAAAAAAUAUAUUAAAACCUCACAAAAAAAUAUAUUACAAUGUUAGACAUGGAGAGAUUCCAAAAAAAUAAAUUAAAAUCUCACAAAAAAAUAUAUUACAAUGUUAGACAUGGAGAGAUUCCGCAUCACCUUAUUUAUGUGUUGAUUUAUUAUAGACGUAGAUAUUUUUUCCCUUAUGAUUAUUUAUUAUAUAAAUAAACGGUAGAUGAAUAUUAAUUUGAAGAGAGAAAUUGUUGGGAAAAAAAGUCCAAAAUCUCACAAAAUAAUAUAUUACAAUGUUAGACAUGGAGAGAUUCCGCAUCACCUUAUUUAUGUGUUGAUUUAUUAUAGAUGUAGAUAUUAUUUUUUCCUUAUGGCUGUUUAUAUAAAUAAACAGAUUAAUCAAAGAAAAAAAAAUCAUAAUCUUUUAAAUUUUUUAAGAGAUAUGGUAAAUACUAAAAGAGACAAAAAAAAAGAUAUUACUCUCACACACAAAAAUAAUAAUCAUUAUGCUUUAACAGAGAAGUCAUGUUAUCAUUCUAUUCAAAGUAUAAAUUUACAAUGAAGAAAAGAUAACUAUUCUUGCCUAAUAUUAAUACUUAGCCAUCAAAAAUGUAAGUGUUACAAUUUUUUGUUGGCAAAAUGGCAAAAUUUGAUAACAAAACAAUAUGAUGAAAAUCAAUAUGUUACCACGUAAGGCAAAUCACGAAUAAAAAUUAAUAAUUCAAGCUUGCCUAGAAAGAAAAAAAAAUAGUCCAAUGAGAAUAAAUUGAACAAUUGAGAUUUUCCUUUCUCCCUUCUCUUAAACUUAAUAUGGUAAUGCUAACAUUUUUUUCACCAAUAAUAUAUAUCCCACAUUAAUAUAAAAAAAAAACAAAAAACAAAUCAAUAACCUUAAAAAGAAAAGAAGGAAAUGAAUUGUAAAAUUUUGAUACUACAUACAAGGUCUACAAAAAUAUAUAGAUUAAUUGAGUUAAAAGGAGUGAUUUCUUUAGUUUACUCUUACAAAUAAAAUAAAUAGUUAUUGUUGUUGUCAUUGUUAUUGUUGUUGUUCUUAUUUUUAUUCUUAUUCUUAUUGUUGUUGUUCUUAUUUUUAUUCUUAUUCUUAUUGUUGUUGUUCUUAUUUUUAUUCUUAUUCUUAUUGUUGUUGUUCUUAUUUUUAUUCUUAUUCUUAUUGUUGUUGUUCUUAUUUUUAUUCUUAUUCUUAUUGUUGUUGUUCUUAUUUUUAUUCUUAUUCUUAUUGUUGUUGUUCUUAUUUUUAUUCUUAUUCUUAUUGUUGUUGUUCUUAUUUUUAUUCUUAUUCUUAUUGUUGUUGUUGUUGUUGUUAUUAUGGAUUAAUAAAAGGAGUGAAAUUUUCUGUGUUAUGUCAUUUUCUAUACCUAAUUUUAUAUUAUAUAGAGAUAGGGAUUUAGAUAUAGAUCUAUAGAUUGUUAGUGGAAAAAAAUAAUAAUAAAUGAGAGAAACUGUCUCUUGUCUUUGUUUCUUUUCCUAAGGUCUCUUUGAAUAGUAUGUUAUGAUUGAUAUUUUUUCUUUACCCUCAAAUAGAAAUUAAGCAAACAUUGAAAAGGAUGCCAACAAAAAGUGAAAAAAGAAUUGAAACGAAAAAAAUUAAUUAAAUACAUAUAUUGAAUAUAUCUUCACCUUAUUCCUCUCUAAAACUUUAAAGCAUGAAGCUUCUAAUUAUUUUCUUCAUCGUCGUUACUUCAGCUCAUAUAGAAUUGAGUAUUGUGGCCAUUCUCCUACAAAAUCAAAUACAAACUUUUUCAUAAUUUUAAACAAAAAAAAAUAACAUAAAGCAAACAAAAUCAAAUACAAUUUUUUUCAUAAUUUUGCACAAAAAGAAAUCACAAAAAGCAAAAAGAGAAGAGAAAAAAAAUAAAGAGGCAAAGAAGAAGAUGCCAACCCAAAAACUCCAACAAAUUAUUUGAAUUCAUACGCCUCUUUUAUUUUUAUAAUAUUUAUAUCAAUACAUGAUCGCAACAAAUCUGUAAAUAUCAUUUACAUUUUCUUUCAUGAUGAAUAUUAAAAGUGAUAAAUUAAUACGAAUUUUUGUAACAACAGAAUUGCAUAUGAAAAGGUGGGAUAGUAAUAACUACUCUUGAUAUACCUUAAUUGUAUGCAUUAAAUUUUGCUAUAAUAUCAUAAAUUACUGGGCUGGGUCAUUAUAGUUAUGGACGUGGGCUGGGCUUUACUACAAUUUAAUACUAUCUUAAUUUAAUAGGUGUCAUGUGAGCGAGAGCUAAACAAUUAAAUUGUGGGUAUUUGUUAUUUCAUUUAUUAAGCUAUUAUAUGAAUGGGAAAUUAGGAGAAAAAUCCAAAAAUAAAUGAGAGAAAAGAUAACUGCAAAUGGUGGCCUUAGAAGCAUGCACAUCAAUUGUCUCAUUAUUCAACUUUUAUAUAUAUAGAUUACCUCUAUAAAUUGGGUGAAACCCUAAAAUCUAGCCCAUUUUUUGCUGUCAACGACCGCCGCCGAAAACCCCUCUUCAUCCACUGCCGGACCACCACGGAACCCCAUUUCUUACCCUCUUCUCCGACCCACUAGAAAACCAACCAGCCACUAGUAACCAUCCAUCCCAGUCAUUUUCCCGGCGAGCUCGCAGCUCAACUCCAGCCACGAGCUACCACCAAAUACACCACCGCGAACCUCACUGUUUCCCUCCCUCACCCCGUUACUCCGUCUCUGGCGCAGGACCGCGAACUAGAAACUUCGGCAAAUCAGAUGCGCUACUGGCCAGAAACGAUCAGAUCCAGCGUUCUCCGGCGAUCUAUGUAUCACUCUCUCUUUUUAAGUUUUAUUUCUUCUCUGUUCUAUGGUUGCAAAUUAUUUGAUAGUAUUAUUUUCUAGGUGGAUUAAUUGUUCCAGUGAUUUUCUGUGUUGUUUAGUUUUAUUUUAUUUAUUUAUGUGUUAAUAUAUUUGCUUUUGUAUAGAUCUGUUCAGAGCUGUUAAAAUUCUCAAUCAUUUUUGUGGUAGAUUUUUUCUAUAUUAUAUUUUCCGCCAAUUAUUUGCACUAUGCUGUUGAAAAUAGUGCACAAAUAUAAUAAACAUGAAAUAUACGUAAAUACUAAAUUAAAUCAUUAAUAUAAGAAAUGGCUUAAUAUUUGUGUAAAAUAUAUACAUAAACAAUAAUAAUGAAUUAAAAUAUUAUUCGAAUGUCUUUCGAAUUCGUUGGAAAAUAAUUUUGAGUACUUGCGAAUACACU